Molecule: ribosomal RNA, 473 nt
Filed under: uncultured bacterium
Lineage: Bacteria
Description: bacterial SSU rRNA
Rfam family: Bacterial small subunit ribosomal RNA
Source: RNAcentral
AGGACGAACGCUGGCGGCGUGCUUCAUACAUGCAAGUCGAACGAGAAGCAGUCUUCGGACUGUGGAAAGUGGCGGACGGGUGAGUAAAAUGUAGAGAAUCUGCCCUAGAGUGGGGGAUAGCAGUUGGAAACGACUAUUAAUACCCCAUAUGAGCGUACUUGAGAUAGUAUUCUUGAAAACUCCGGUGCUCUAGGAUGAGUCUGCAUCUGAUUAGCUAGUAGGCGGUGUAAUGGACCACCCAGGCGACGAUCAGUAGCUGGUUUGAGAGGAUGAUCAGCCACAAUGGGACUGAGACACGGCCCAUACUCCUACGGGAGGCAGCAGUAGGGAAUUUUGCGCAAUGGGGGAAACCCUGAACCGCAGCAACGCCGCGUGAAUGAAGAAGCCCUUCGGGGUGUAAAGUUCUGUCAGUGGGGACGAAACUUGACGGUACCCACAGAGGAAGCAUCGGCUAACUCCGUGCCAGCCGCCGC